GACAGCCAAGAAGCGCCAGAACUCAAGUGAUGGUCCACACAGAAAUUGAGUUGACGAGGUCAGGGAGUAUCGAAAAUUCGGCGGAUGCCCUGGAGAAUUGUCAUUUAAAACCAAAGAGUGAUCUUUGGGACAGAGAUGGCAUAAAAAAGAAAU
This is a non-coding RNA of Acetobacterium wieringae, 153 nucleotides long. The record is from Rfam. Lineage: Bacteria; Bacillati; Bacillota; Clostridia; Eubacteriales; Eubacteriaceae.